Molecule: ribosomal RNA, 310 nt
Filed under: uncultured bacterium
Lineage: Bacteria
Description: bacterial SSU rRNA
Rfam family: Bacterial small subunit ribosomal RNA
Source: RNAcentral
AACGAACGCUGGCGGCAGGCCUAAAACAUGCAAGUCGAGCGGGCAUAGCAAUAUGUCAGCGGCGGACGGGUGAAUAACACGUGGGAACAUGCCCUUUGGUACGGAACAACUCAGGGAAACUUGAGCUAAUACCGUAUGUGCCGGUAACGGGAAAGAUUUAUCGCCAAAGGAUUGGCCCGCGUCCGAUUAGCUAGUUGGUGAGGUAACGGCUCACCAAGGCGACGAUCGGUAGCUGGUUGAGAGAACGAUCAGCCACACUGGGACUGAGACACGGCCCAGACUCCUACGGGAGGCAGCAGUUGGGAAUCUU